GCAGUGUUUGGAUGUUUGUAUUGAGCCUAGGCAUUGGGUAUUGGGGUAUUCACAACCCGAAUACCUCAAAUUGAAGCGUUUGGCUGUCCUUGGCAUUCGGGCUUGGUAUUCGGGCUCAAUAUUGACCGGCCCAAUUAACACUACACGAGACCCCUCCCGAAUGAAGAGCCUCUGGCCUCGACAUCUCCAGGUAUUCGAGCGAGCGGAGCUUCUUCUCUUCCCUAACCCGACCGCAACCUAACGACGAGGCCGCACAAACCAAAUCGAGCGGCGGAGCAGGUCCCCCAUCUUCACCCAGAUCUAACCGUGGGUCAGCGCCGCCUCCAAUCAUGUUUGACGUGUCCCCUUGUUAGGUGUUGCUGGUGAUGAGCGCGUGCUGCCGGCCAAACUCGUUGUCUCGUUGAGCUCGUCUAGCAUCCCCUUGCUAGCUGAAGUUUUGCUAGAUGCGUUCUUCUGUGUGUGCCAAAUUUCUUUUUGACCAACGCUGGUUGGUGUUGUUUACUGCUAGCUAGAUGUUUGCAAAUUUAUUUUUUGAAACAAGCUAGCUGAUGCAUCUAUUCUA
Lolium perenne is the source of this 562-nucleotide non-coding RNA. The record is from RefSeq and is a predicted model, not a curated record. NCBI's taxonomy places the organism in Eukaryota, Viridiplantae, Streptophyta, Magnoliopsida, Poales, Poaceae.